GGAUUGAUGGUCACUGCACCAUAGUCACUGCUUAGAAAAGCUGAACAAAAUGAUUAAAAUCUCAUAACCAUCUUUCUCAGUUUAACUGAGAUGA
Lepus europaeus (European hare) is the source of this 94-nucleotide small nucleolar RNA. RefSeq annotates it as small nucleolar RNA SNORD116. The transcript has a single exon. Lineage: Eukaryota; Metazoa; Chordata; Mammalia; Lagomorpha; Leporidae. The record is from RefSeq and is a predicted model, not a curated record.